Phyllostomus discolor (pale spear-nosed bat) is the source of this 5224-nucleotide long non-coding RNA. RefSeq lists it as uncharacterized. The record is from RefSeq and is a predicted model, not a curated record. The transcript is spliced from 2 exons. NCBI's taxonomy places the organism in Eukaryota, Metazoa, Chordata, Mammalia, Chiroptera, Phyllostomidae.
UAUUAUUAUUCAUCUGAGGGUGCAGCCGCCACAACCUUUGCUCCGGCGCUCCUCUCCUUCCCCCCGGCCGCCGCCGCUAGCAGUACAGUCCCUCCUGCCCGCAAGCUCUGGUCACCAAAGGGGGAUUCAGAAUUUUUUACAGUGCUCACAACCGUCGUCACGAGGCUCCUUGCCAUGGCUAUCAUCUCCUCCUGCCAGGUGGAGCGACUACGAGCGCCUUCUCGCCGCCCGCCCCUUCCCCAGCGGAGGAAGCAGUUGGGGCCCGGCCGCUGCGGCCGCUCCCUAGAUGCGGCUUCCUCUGCCUCUCUGCGUCUCUCCUUCUUUCAUCUGUAUGUAUAUUAUCUCGAUCCCUUUUAUUCCAGUAGAUCUACUGCCUUUCGUAACCCUGGCUGAAACGCUGCGGACUGCAACCAGUCUGUUAAAAAGAACAAAAACGGGAAAGACCUUGAGUGGAUCCCCGGACAAAGCACUUUGGGUUCGGCGAGAAGGAUGCACGGGAGCGCUGGCUCCGGAAUUCGAGUGAUCGCCAGCGCCCAAGGGCGCCCGCCCAGCGCACCUCUGAGGUAUUCAGACUGAAUUGUAUGUAUCUUUUUGGUAUGCUUGAGCAUUGUCAUUGUUGGGGAGGAGUUGGGUUUGUUUUUCUGGGAAAGGGAGCUGAAUUGCGGGGGGUCAGAUAGACUUAACUUGGCUUUCCUGCUCCCCUGCCUCACCUUGUGGAGAUCCGGGUGUUGGAGGGCAGACUGCGGACCAGAAGGCUUAGAAAACAGUAGAAGCCAGAGAUGUUGUCUGGGUGGCUGAGUGAGGGAGAGGGGAGAAGGGACGGGCCAGCUCGAGGGGACUGUGAAAAGAAGCGGGGUGUUGAACCCUUCUUCGAGUUCACAGGAUGAGUUUUGCCGGGGACGAGAAUAUGGGAGACUGUCACAGGAGUGCUGAGAAACUGAUAAAAAUGUGCUCUGUCCAUGCACACACACGGGAGGCGUUUGGAUUUGUGUGUAAACAGAGUGGAGAGGUGGAGGAGGCACAGAGGGAGGGGGCUUCAAAUAAUGUCUUAUUAUCCCUUUGGCGUUGGGGACUCUCAUCCUCCGGCCCUCUCCCUUUUUGGACCCAGGGAGACAGCCGCAUUAGACACGAAUGACCUUUCAAAUCUACGCCCACCACUUACCUGGUAAAGCCGGUUGACAGUUUGGGGUGGGGUGGGAUAGGGAGAGUGGUAGGGGUGUUUCGAAGACGUAUAUUCUCUCCCCGCUCCCUCUCUCCCCCCACUCCGUCUCCUCCUCCCUUGCCCCCCCCCCCCGCCACUCUUUCUCUUCCUCCCUCCCACCUCCCUCCCUCCCUCCCUCCUCCCUGCUGCAUUUUGCAUGAGCUAUCUAGGUCAUUAGCAUUUUAGCGUAUGCAAGACUUGACAAAGCUGAUGAGGGGCCAGAUGGGCCUCGCUCUUAUGGGUUUUUUUUCUUUUCUUUUCUUUUUCCUUUCUUUCUUUCUUUCUUUUUUCUUAUUUUCCUUUCUUCCCUCCACCACUUGGGACCUGAGAGAGAGGACUGCGGCCGGCGAGUUCCGGAAGGCGGAUACCCCAGACCCCGGCCGCGGACCGCGGCAGCUCGCCCUGCGGCACGCCCGGCCAGGCUGUGCCUGGACUCGGCCGACUAGGAAAAAGCCUGGACCCGAAAGGAUGGGGGAGAACAAAGAGCCUUUGGAAGACGGCGCUGUUAUCUCAUUGUCUGUGUGAUUGGGGAGCUGCGGUAGGGAGGAUGCUGUGGUCCUUUCCUCCCUGCACUCCCCCACCCCCAGCCCUUUCCCCGCUGUCAGUGCGCACGCACUCGCGCCGUUUUUACUUAUUUUUCCCUGUUUCCUCAUUCCAUCUUCUCCCCAGUCCCCUUUCUUUCUUCCGCCUUUCCUUCCUUCCUCCUUGCCUUCCUCAGGAGAAAGGCCUCUCUCUCCGUGUUCACAGCGGACCUUGAUUUAAAUGUCCAUACAAUUAAGGCACGCGGUGAAUGCCAAGAAUGGGGCUGGCUGAGCACCGUCGGUCUGCGAGGUCCCGCCAAGGAAGGAGCCACAGAGCCAAGGCGCCCUCCGCAGAGCUCAGCGCUGCGGCUUGGGACGGGAGGGGUCGCGGGCUCCAGGGGGCAGAAGCCCUUGGCGUGGGGAGGUGUGUGGUUCGUGACAGACAGGGGCUUAGAGAUGCGAAACCGAAGCUGAUUCUGUGACAGAACUGCAGAUCCCGGCAAGCACCGAAGCGGGGGGAGGGGAUGCCUGUGAGCGCAUUGCGGAGUGCUUCUCUGUGCAUAUUUUUCUCUAGGCUUGGGGUGCAUUGUACGCGGGUGGACACCUUUCUCCUUGGCUGUGUUUUUGUUCUGGGCUUAGCUUUUGGUUUGCUCUUAAAAAAAAUAACCUGGCAUCCAGAAGACAGGCAGGCUGUGCCAGGGCUUGGACUGCGGGUAUAUUGUGUUCUGCGUGAGGUUUGGGGGGAGGGAGGUAGCCAGUUGGAAGGGAGGAGGAGGAUGUUUGUCAUCCUUUGCUGUAGAGCUGUGGGCACCUGACAAGCUUGAAGAAGUCAUUGGGAUGUACGGGGAAGCAGGAACAAAUUCCUGGCGGGGUCACAGGCUCCAUCAGGACUGAAAGCGUGGCCAGGGCUCUUGGGAGCAUCUCACUUCCUCCUUGUGGCUGUAAUUGCAGUUUUAGGCAGAGAUCCAAGAGAUGCAGAGGAAGGGAGAGGCUCGGUAACCUAUAUGUACGUUCCCAAGGGGGGUGGUGCAUUCCUUUAAAAAUCCUAACAGAAGGAAAAACAGAAUGUGUACAAGUGAGGGUUUGAGGAAAGAAUGUUUUGAAAGAAAGCAUCAGGGAAUGCAGAGGGCCAGCCCUCCCUCAUCCUGAAGAAGCUGCUUCCCAAAUGGGGCCUUCCCAUCACUAGACCUAGAGCAGCAGCUGGUCCUGAAGACCCCCUUCACAGGGCACAAUGACAGAUCCCAUCUCCUGCUCAGUAUUAACCCCCAAGCUGCAGUGGAUGGUGGCAAAACUGAAACUCGUUAAUUUUCUGGUGGAGAAAAUGGAGGUGGGGCAGGUCCCUACAGAGAAAGGAGGCCGAGAGCUGCUGGAUCUUCCUACCCAGGAAGCCUGCUGCAUCCCUUUCCCCAACCUUAGCAGAGGCCUGUUUUUGCAAGGCUGAGACCAUAAGGAUGCUUAGGAUUUUAGUUUGUUUCCUUGCACAGUAAUCAAGGCCUAAAAGAGUCUCAGUUGUAGCUUACUGAGAGACUCCUCUCCAAAGCCUCAGUCUAGCCCACUGGAUAAAUUAGUAUCAAAGAUACCCUAGUCUCAUUUCCUCCCAAAUGUUUAUUGAGUGCCUACUGUGUGUCAAUCAUUGUGUAAUUAUUAUGUUUUAUGUUCUUUCUUUGCCCUCCUAAGGGGGCCUCUGGAGUCAGGUGAGGUGAAGUGUGCUGUACCCCAUCUAGACAUUCCCAGAACCUUCUCUGGGUCUGCAGAAAUGUGCUGCAAACUGCUCACCCCUGCAGAAUAGGCUGCAGUUAACAUCCUGCAAACUGUUAGGGGCGGUGCUCUUCCUCCAGCCCCAGAAGGUGAGCUUAGCUGGAGGACAGGAGAGGGAGCAGCUUCCCCGGCUCCUUGAGCCUUAGCCAGGGUUGUCCUAAGGGUCACUGACAGUCGCCGCCUUUAAAAUAGACCUCCCUUCGAAUGGUGCCUUUUUGGGGUGUAAAUCCCCUAGUCUCUCCCCUUCCCUCCUCCCUGAGAGGCUGCUCUUAUGUUUCUGCCAGGGAUGGGUUAAGCCCCUGAUGACCAACCCCUUGCCCUUCAGUUGUCCACAUUAGUGAGCCUUGUCUCCAUAAUUGCUUCCCCAUAACUCCAUCAGAUAUAGCUACACCCUUCGCUGAUGUGCCUGCCCACGUAAUGCCCCUCGUAGAUGGAAACCUAACACACUUCUCCCUGAGAGCUUAAACCGCAGGCACCAUGGUCAAGGUCUACCAGGUUCCUGCUGCCCAUAAUCUACAAUGGGAGGGGGGUGCUUUUUUAUGGCUUAUGUAAACUCUAGUUUCUGAAAGCUUUCAUGUGUAUGGGGAUUGUCCUGUGUGCACCAGGUCUCAUUACACAGUGUGUUUUUCUGUGGGGCUUUAAUGGCCGAAAAUGGCAGAGAUGCAUGUACACUCUGCCCACUGUGUCAUUUCAAGGCCCCCUUUGUGUUCACCGAAUAGAGGUGUUGGAGCAAAGGUCAGUCCUGGCUCCUUCCCUCCCCCUAUACUUGGGGCCUGUUGAUGCCCAGCAAUAUUUAUGUAAGAGACUUGAAGAUUUCUGCUUUUUCAAGGCAUUUUUUUAACUCUCAACAUCAUCUUCUUCCCUGCCUAUCUAUUUGAGUCCCUCUAAUUACAUCCUACCAUUUCAAUGAAGGGGGGGGAACAUAUGAUUUUUUAAAAUGUAGAUGAUGUUUGAGGCAGUUUGCUGAGAAUACGCUAAGAAAGCCCCUGUUGGUUCACCCACACUACCAUCAUUAUGGUCCUCAUGAGGAUGGGAGCUCAUGUUUCUCGAGGUGAAUAUGCCAGAUACUUUAAGAUGGAUUUAGUGAUGUAUCAAAGUAAAAAAAAAAAAAAGGUAAUAUUCUUCUUUCCCCUGCCAGAGACAGCCCAGGCCCAGGUCUCUGUUUAAGCAGAAAGGAAAUUGAGCAAAAGCAAAGGUAAAUUCCUCUAUCACUUCUGUCACCAAAGGGGUGGAAAUGGGGGACAGUGACUGUGGACGCAUGAGGAGGCUUAGCCAGAGAAAUAUUUGGGGAAGGGGUAAUUUCUCAGCAGGAAAAAGCUCAUAUAUACACAUGCAUAGCACACAACCCUAUCUGUUUGCAUAACCAUAUCCGUUGCUAGUAUUUAUAGAAAAGCAUUUACCCACACACACGCACGCACAGAUCCAUACAUCUAUACUGUCUCCACGGGGAAAUAAUUUUUCUAUUUCCCUCUGCUGAACUUACAUAACACCCCCACCCCUUGUUCUAACCUGAGAAUGGAGUUCUCUGGGGGCAGCUGCAAAGCAUUCUCCCUAGGACAGAUGGAGCCUCCCUUCCUCCUCUCCUCUGUGGGUGGCUCUCGCCCCGUGAGUCAACGGGAGCUGAAGGUUGUGCUGCAGUCUGUGUGUUUGAGGCUUGGCUGGCUGAUUCAUGGUGAUGAGUGUGUCAACAAUAACAAUUAUAAGAAUUAUGGUACCUAAUAAAGAUUUUUUUUCUUCCAAAUCC